UUCCAUUUGAAAGGCUCUUAUCCUAAAAGCAAAAACAUCAAAACACCAAAUGGUUAAUUAUAUGUUAAAAUCUAUUAAGUUCCACAUUGGUUGGGUAUUGGACAAAAUUGUUUCACAUAUGAUUUACGCAAUCCUCCUCCCACAAGGUGGGCUUUGGGUGAAAUUAGGUUCUGUCCAUUUUAUCAACAUGGUAUCAGAGCCAGCCCCAAUCUCGAUGUUGGGCCACCCAAAAAUGUUAGUCUUGCAAACUUCAUGCUCUAGAUGUCAAGUCUUAGGCAUGAAGGGGAUGUGUUAAUUUCCACAUCGACUAGGUAUUGGGGAAAAAUGCUUCAUAUGUGACUUGGCAAUCCUCAUCUUACAAGGUGCCUUUUGAGGUAAAGUCAAGGUCAGUCUAUUUUAACAACAAAAUCUAAUUGCAAACAAAUUCAUUGUUUUCUUAAUUACCUUGAAGCUUUCCAUUUGAGAUU
This 467-nucleotide unclassified non-coding RNA is filed under the name Hevea brasiliensis (rubber tree). The record is from RNAcentral. Lineage: Eukaryota; Viridiplantae; Streptophyta; Magnoliopsida; Malpighiales; Euphorbiaceae.